CCUACGGGAGGCUGCAGUGGGGAAUAUUGCACAAUGGGGGAAACCCUGAUGCAGCGACGCCGCGUGAGCGAUGAAGUAUUUCGGUAUGUAAAGCUCUAUCAGCAGGGAAGAAAAUGACGGUACCUGACUAAGAAGCCCCGGCUAACUACGUGCCAGCAGCCGCGGUAAUACGUAGGGGGCAAGCGUUAUCCGGAUUUACUGGGUGUAAAGGGAGCGUAGACGGCGGUGCAAGCCAGAUGUGAAAGCCCGGGGCUCAACCCCGGGACUGCAUUUGGAACUGUGCUGCUAGAGUGUCGGAGAGGUAGGUGGAAUUCCUAGUGUAGCGGUGAAAUGCGUAGAUAUUAGGAGGAACACCAGUGGCGAAGGCGGCUUGCUGGACGAUGACUGACGUUGAGGCUCGAAAGCGCGGGGAUCGAACAGGAUUAGAUACCCCAGUAGUC
RNAcentral lists this ribosomal RNA (440 nucleotides) under uncultured bacterium. RNAcentral describes it as "partial 16S ribosomal RNA". It matches the Rfam family "Bacterial small subunit ribosomal RNA", at positions 338 to 795 of the family's 1533-position model. The record is from RNAcentral.